UACCAGCACCCCGAGUGGUCGGGGCGAUUAUUGGGCCUAAAGCAUCCGUAGCCGGUCAUGCAAGUCUUCCGUUAAAUCCAGCCGCUCAACGGUUGGGCUGCGGAGGAUACUACGUGGCUAGGAGGCGGGAGAGGCAAGCGGUACUCAGUGGGUAGGGGUAAAAUCCGUUGAUCCAUUGAAGACCACCAGUGGCGAAGGCGGCUUGCCAGAAUGCGCUCGACGGUGAGGGAUGAAAGCUGGGGGAGCAAACCGG
RNAcentral lists this ribosomal RNA (253 nucleotides) under uncultured bacterium. RNAcentral's name for it is "partial 16S ribosomal RNA". It matches the Rfam family "Archaeal small subunit ribosomal RNA", at positions 474 to 727 of the family's 1478-position model. The record is from RNAcentral.